CCUACGGGAGGCAGCAGUGGGGAAUUUUGGACAAUGGGCGCAAGCCUGAUCCAGCAAUGCCGCGUGCAGGAUGAAGGCCUUCGGGUUGUAAACUGCUUUUGUACGGAACGAAAAAGUCUGCCCUAAUACGGUGGGCCCAUGACGGUACCGUAAGAAUAAGCACCGGCUAACUACGUGCCAGCAGCCGCGGUAAUACGUAGGGUGCGAGCGUUAAUCGGAAUUACUGGGCGUAAAGCGUGCGCAGGCGGUUAUAUAAGACAGAUGUGAAAUCCCCGGGCUCAACCUGGGACCUGCAUUUGUGACUGUAUAGCUAGAGUACGGUAGAGGGGGAUGGAAUUCCGCGUGUAGCAGUGAAAUGCGUAGAUAUGCGGAGGAACACCGAUGGCGAAGGCAAUCCCCUGGACCUGUACUGACGCUCAUGCACGAAAGCGUGGGGAGCAAACAGGAUUAGAUACCCUGGUAGUCCACGCCCUAAACGAUGUCAACUGGUUGUUGGGUCUUCACUGACUCAGUAACGAAGCUAACGCGNGAGUGACGCGNGGNGGUAACGGCGCGAGUUAGUAAGUUAGAAGAAGUUGNGNGNGNGAGNGCGAGCGACGACGAGGGAGGAGG
This 612-nucleotide ribosomal RNA is filed under the name uncultured bacterium. RNAcentral's name for it is "bacterial SSU rRNA". It matches the Rfam family "Bacterial small subunit ribosomal RNA", at positions 338 to 947 of the family's 1533-position model. The record is from RNAcentral.